UCUCAUAAUUAUUUAAUCACACAUACAUUUACAUCAUGCAAUCAAUCCAAAACUGUGAUCUCAUGAACUCCCCUGUCCGUUCUCCUCGGAGCGCUGCCAUGUGUGCCCCAGUUAUCCAGGAAUGAUCCAGUACCUUGUCCACUGAUAGAUCCUCAAAACUGUCCUUUUAAAAAUUGACCAACUAUUACACAGUAAUAAAAAAAGUGGCUACACUUUUGUUUUUAUUUAGAAUUAAUGCAAAAUCAAAUUUAGGUAAACACCUCAAAUAUUAUUUGCUGUAUUUCAUUGACUAUUCCCCUCUUCCCUCCCCCCCCCCUCCCCAUUUCAUAUCCAGUUUUGGUGGUAGGUCAAAGGAUACACAUUUUGAGGUCCAUGCUGCAAAGUCACAACUAAUCUAGAAGAUUACACCGAUGGAAUAAACCAUCUCGAUAGACACAAACACUGUCCUGUCGUAGAUACAUGGAGCUGCUCCGCCCUGCAGCUUGUAGAAAGUCUUUAUUCUUAUUUAAAUUAUUUGCCUUCAACAAAACAAUUCCAUUUUACAGGGCGUUGGAAGCGACUAACUCCUCCAGUCGAAACAGCCACACAUGGAGUGUUUGCAGGUGUUGUGAGGAAGUGCUAUUAAACUAAACGUUUUCUGUUACAAGGUUUUAGUAUGACAUCUUUUAGUGAGAGACGUAAUCCUAGCUAGAUCGGUUCCAGUCACCGAAAAACUAUUUGCAGAAGCAGUUUUCUUUACGGUGUGUUUGUAAAAGCUUCUGGAGUUUACUGUCGAGUAAAGUAGUAGAUAUUCAUGUCCUAGGAAGACUCCUGUAUCAUGUUUCAGAGUGUUGAGAAAUGGCAAUGAGAGAAGCCCUCGAUGAGAAAAUACAUUGAGAGCUAAAAGUUAGCGGAACAGAAGCUAACAAGAAAAAGGGGCAGUACUUUUUUUUUGUUGUGACUCCAUAUGGCAGGAUUACCACUGCAAGCGAACACACCCACACGAUAUACAGUGUAUUUUACAGUAUAUUGCACUUACACAAGAUGUUAGUGUUCUCACGCUGGGGUUACAAUCACAACAAGCUCUUAGCCGAUGCAGUGGGGCUUCACAGGGUUACAAAAAAAAAGAGAAGAAAGCUGUGGUGGGAAUUAAAAACACAACGAAAAGAACAUCCUACACCCCUGACUAGAUUUAGUGAAAUAAACCCCUCUUACAGGUGAUGACAGAAGAUUGUUGUGCAAUUUUAGACCCUGCUCUCCUGAUUGGCUGAUCAGCGGCGAGGGUCCGACCCAUCGACUCACACCCCUGCCCGCCUCACCUUUCAAAUAUGAAUCUACACAACGUCUAUGGAGCAAUGACAGAGGUACAGUACACUCAACCCAGCAAAACACUUUUCUGCACAUUUACAAACCAAAAGAGGGGAAGUUAAAGAGUCUAAAUCGAUAAGAAUCAACAACAACAACAACAAAAGGGUGUGGAGGGAGAACAAAAAAAAAGCAAUACACAGAGGCGAGGCAUCCUUGAAAAGAAUUCAUGAUACAGGUACAACUAAAAAAACAAAAAGUCCUGGAGGUGUGUGUGUGUGUGUGUGUGUGUGUGUGUGUGUGUGUGUGUGUGUGUGUGUGUAUUAGGACAGGACCAGCGUUGUGUGUGCCAUCUCAGUCUAUUCCCUGCAGCCUAUGUGCUCCAAUGUGCAGAGAGAUAUAAAUAGCGGCCAGCAUUAUGAACCACCGAUAGAAGUAAAAACAGUACAUUUAGCUACUUAGCAUAAGCUACGCUAAAAAAAAGGUGGAAGUUUUGUUGUGUCAACCGGAUCAUUCUCUUCCCUCUUACAUUCUUUACAUCCUUCUCAUGAAGUCACCAAUAACGAGUAUAGGUUUCAUUUUAACUUAAUGAUAAAAACAAUUGGCCUCCACAGGUAUUUAGUUAAAUACAUCUACAGUACACGGUUGCACGUCGUGGCUUUUUAGUUUAUUUUUUUAAUCCUUUUUUUGAGCCGUCCCCGUUGCUGUUGCCACACAGGUCUCACUCUCCAGGGUGUGCAGUCGUGCCAAUUUUACAUCUGUACAAGACCGGGCAGAACAGUAGUGCUCGACACCA
Molecule: long non-coding RNA, 2080 nt
Organism: Notothenia coriiceps (black rockcod)
Lineage: Eukaryota; Metazoa; Chordata; Actinopteri; Perciformes; Nototheniidae
Exons: 2
Source: RefSeq, a predicted model, not a curated record